GCUCGGGUGGCCUGGUGAUUAGAGCGUCUGCCUCAGAUGCGGGAGGCCGUGGGUUUGAACCCUGGCCGAGUCA
This is a non-coding RNA of Potamilus streckersoni, 73 nucleotides long. Lineage: Eukaryota; Metazoa; Mollusca; Bivalvia; Unionida; Unionidae. The record is from the annotation of a GenBank genome assembly.